CGUAGUCGAUGGAUAACGGGUUGAUAUUCCCGUACCGGUGAAAAACCGCCCAUACUGAUAUUGUGAUGCUAACCAUGCGAAGCAUGAUGUGCAGGCUUUUGUUUGUGUGUUGUGUGGGUUGUGGGACCCGAUCUUUGGAGGUAAACGUGUUAACAGGUGUGACGCAGGAAGGUAGCCAAGCCACGCGAUGGUUGUCGUGGUCUAAGCGUGUAGGGUUGUCGGUUGUUAAAUGCGCCGGCUGUGUGCCUGAGACGUGAUGGGACCCCGUUUUUGGGGGAUUUGGUGAUCCUAUGCUGCCGAGAAAAGCAUCGGCGUGAGGUUUUAGCCGCCCGUACCCUAAACCGACACAGGUGAUCAGGUAGAGAAUACUAAGGCGAUCGAGAGAAUCAUGGUUAAGGAACUCGGCAAAAUGCCCCCGUAACUUCGGGAGAAGGGGGACCUUGAGCGUGAUGGGCACUUGCUGCCUGGAGCGUGUAUGGGUCGCAGAGACCAGGGGGAAGCGACUGUUUAUCAAAAACACAGGUCCGUGCGAAGUCGUAAGACGAUGUAUACGGACUGACUCCUGCCCGGUGCUGGAAGGUUAAGAGGAUUGGUUAGCCCUUUUGGGCGAAGCUGAGAAUUUAAGCCCCAGUAAACGGCGGUGGUAACUAUAACCAUCCUAAGGUAGCGAAAUUCCUUGUCGGGUAAGUUCCGACCUGCACGAAUGGAGUAACGACUUCCCUACUGUCUCAACCAUGAACUCGGCGAAAUUGCAGUACGAGUAAAGAUGCUCGUUUCGCGCAGCAGGACGGAAAGACCCCGUGACCUUUACUAUAGUUUGGUAUUGGUGUUUGGGUUGGCUUGUGUAGGAUAGGUGGGAGACUGUGAAGCUGUCACGCUAGUGGUGGUGGAGUCGUUGUUGAAAUACCACUCUGGUCAAUCUGGAUGUCUAACUUCGGGCCAUGAUCUGGUUCAGGGACAGUGCCUGAUGGGUAGUUUAACUGGGGCGGUUGCCUCCUAAAGUGUAACGGAGGCGCCCAAAGGUUCCCUCAGCCUGGUUGGCAAUCAGGUGUUGAGUGUAAGUGCACAAGGGAGCUUGACUGUGAGACUGGCAGGUCGAGCAGGGACGAAAGUCGGGACUAGUGAUCCGGCGGUACGUUGUGGAACGGCCGUCGCUCAACGGAUAAAAGGUACCUCGGGGAUAACAGGCUGAUCUUGCCCAAGAGUCCAUAUCGACGGCAUGGUUUGGCACCUCGAUGUCGGCUCGUCGCAUCCUGGGGCUGGAGUCGGUCCCAAGGGUUGGGCUGUUCGCCCAUUAAAGCGGUACGCGAGCUGGGUUCAGAACGUCGUGAGACAGUUCGGUCCCUAUCCGUCG
RNAcentral lists this ribosomal RNA (1354 nucleotides) under human oral metagenome. Its description in RNAcentral is "bacterial LSU rRNA". It matches the Rfam family "Bacterial large subunit ribosomal RNA", at positions 1410 to 2647 of the family's 2925-position model. The record is from RNAcentral.